AUUGAACGCUGGCGGUAUGCUUAAGACAUGCAAGUCGAACGGUAACAGGUUAAGCUGACGAGUGGCGGACGAGUGAGUAACGCGUGGGAAUCUACCUUGUAGUGGGGGAUAAGCCAGGGAAACUUGGACUAAUACCGCAUACGCCCUAAGGGGAAAGGCGCAAGUCGCUAUAAGAUGAGCCCGCGUCUGAUUAGGUAGUUGGUGGGGUAAAGGCCUACCAAGCCGACGAUCAGUAGCUGGUCUGAGAGGAUGAUCAGCCACGUCGGGACUGAGACACGGCCCGGACUCCUACGGGAGGCAGCAGUCGGGAAUAUUGGACAAUGGGGGAAACCCUGAUCCAGCAAUACCGCGUGUGUGAAGAAGGCCUGCGGGUUGUAAAGCACUUUCAGUUGGGAAGAUAAUGACGUUACCAACAGAAGAAGCACCG
Molecule: ribosomal RNA, 427 nt
Filed under: uncultured bacterium
Lineage: Bacteria
Description: bacterial SSU rRNA
Rfam family: Bacterial small subunit ribosomal RNA
Source: RNAcentral